GUGAGGGCAGCAUGGAGGAAUCUAAGGGAAAACCACCUUCACACUUGCACCCCAGCGGCGUGGCCAGCCCCACCCCCACCUGCCUGUGGGAGGGCGGGAGUCAGAACCCCAAGAAAUCAGGGCGCAAGGGAGCAGGAGCACAUCCCGCUGUACAGGAGCCAUGCCUCAUUUCAUUAUCUAGAAAGUGCGUGCUAUUUUUAUGGAAAGUUCUAUGCUCAACUAUGCAGGUUCUACUCAACAGUUCAUUCUCUAAAGAAAACGAGAAACGAGUGGACCACCCCGUUUGUCUUCUGGCCCCAGACAAGUCAUCUGAGACACCCCUGGGCUGGAGGGGAGUUUACAAGGCACAUUCCGGAGAAGCCAGGGUGGGCCCAGCCAGGGCAGAGGCUCCAUGGGAAGGAGCCUGUGCCUAGCAAGAGACCCCAGGGUGUCUUUAAAUGGGGGUGGGAGCCAGGAGGGGCCCCCUGGCCGAAGCCCCUCAGGUAGCCCCAGAAGCGGCUCCAGCCAUUCAGCCUCUCCCGGCAGAAGGCACCUCCGUCCUGGGCCUGCAGCCGAGCUCAGAACCGGAAACGGCAGGAGGGGAAGACAUGAGGGUGGCAGGCUGUGUGCUCACAGACGAUGAUGGUGGGACCCUUGGGAGCGAGUGGCAAAAACCCAACUCAACCCGGCUCAAGGGAAUAAAAGGCUCAGAAAGUCCAGAGGUGCAGCUGCGGCUGGCCCCGGGCCUCCAGUGAUGUCCCUGGGCAUCGGAGACCCCUAUUUCACCCCUGAAUGAUCCCGGGGGCAGGCGGCCCAUCAGCAGGGACCCGGCUCCCUCCGUCUCCUCCCUGGGGGGUCCUCUGCUGUCCUGUCAUCUGGAGCACAUUCCAGCCGGUGAGAGGCCAGAAGAGGACUUGGGCUCAGCCCCCUCCUCUCGCCUCCUGGGACUUGGUCCCGUGGCUGCCCAGCUGCAAGGGGGCUGGGAGGCCGAGCCCUUAGCUGGGUCCCCGGCUGCAGCUGAGAUUCAGGGUGAAGGGCAGGGUGGAUGCGAGGGGGCCAGCUGUGUCCUCUCUGCUUUCCUCUGCGUUGGAGAAGGAGCCAAGUCUGUCCCAGGCUGCCAGCUCUGGGGGAUGAGGUGGGCCUGCAGCGCACUGUGCCCCCCGUGUUGGCCGAGCCCCGGACAGCGAGCCCUGGCUCCCCUCCAAGGCUGGCUGGCCCAGCUGCCCCUCCCAUGGACCCUCUGCUGUCUCUGAGGCCCCCUGAGCCGGCCAGGCCAGCUGGACGCACCACCAGCCCCUGGCCCCUGCCGACUCUGGGCUUUGUCACCCACAGUGUCAGCUCCAAGCUGUUAAUGGAAGCAGCUUGAACAGGCCAUUACGGCCGCCAGGAGAUGAGCUCUGCUAACGGGCGCCCCUCAUCCGAGGCACCAGCUUUCCUCGUGCGUCCUGUUUUGCCCAGGUCUUCAUGUUUUGCAUUUGCUCAGCUCACCUGAGGUGACACCAGGCCCUUCUCUGCUUGAAGUGCUGUUCACCGUCACUUGUACGCGUGGUUCCACUCAGCAUGUCUUCUGGAAAUGUGCGCCGUGAGGUCGCAGGGUGGGGAGAAGGGCCAGUGAGCCCCUAGAGCAUGGCCCUCGCUGUCACCUGAUGGCACUCAGUGAAUGUGGAACGGACGGACGGACAGACAGAUGGACAGGCAGGUGGGAAGCCCUGAAGGGAAUGAGGGAGGGGGUGGAAAGCCAGGAAGCUCCUCCUCACUUACGUCUUCAGCCUGCAGGAUGGGGGGGGGGGUGAGGCUCAUUUGCAUCAUUUUUUCCCCAUUUCCCCCCACCGCUGCUGUACUGGGGUGAAUGGUGUCCCCCAAAUUCACUUUCCCUGGAGGCUCAGGUGGCCUCGUCAGGAAACAGGCCCUUUGCAGAUGGAAGUGGGACGCGCUCAUGCUGGACGAGGGCCCCAAGUCUGAUGUCAGGAGUCCUUGUGAAAAGAGGACACACAGACACACGGACACACGGAGAAGUCCCCGUGGAGGCCACAAGCCCAGGAGCACCCGGGGCCACCAGUAGCUGCAGGGCCUGGCCCAGGCUUCCGGGGAAACCACGAUUUCCAGCUAUGACCCCCGGAACCCCAAGAUGCACAGUUUUGUUGUCUGAAGCCCCCGAGUGUGGACCUUGCCUCGGUCACCCCAGUUGCUGAGCGCACCCCCGCUGCACACAGGGCAGCAGCUCUCAGUCCCCACGUCUCCUCUCAGGAGAGCCGUCAGCUCGGCAGCCAGCAGGUUGUGAACAGGUUGUGGGAGGA
Molecule: long non-coding RNA, 2276 nt
Organism: Choloepus didactylus (southern two-toed sloth)
Lineage: Eukaryota; Metazoa; Chordata; Mammalia; Pilosa; Megalonychidae
Exons: 3
Source: RefSeq, a predicted model, not a curated record